GUUCUAGUGGGCCUGAGCCUCACACGGGGUCCCUGCAGCUGCUGACUGCUGCGUGAUGUAAGCAUGUUUUGCAGAUGCAGCCAGGCUCGGGAGAAGGAGUCUCAGAAAUGUCGUGUGGUGUCCAUGGUCGCUGUCCCAGGAGGAGCAGCGUGCGUCCUUCUACCCGGGACCUGGGCCUCUGCUUCCCAGCUGAGUCUAUGAAGUCAGUGUUGUUAUCCUGACAACAAAACCAGACAGAGACACCACAAGAAAAGAAGAUUUCAGCCUAACAUUCCACAUGAAUAUAGAAACAAAAAUCCUCAGAAUACCAGCAAACCAAUCCACGCAUAGUGAAAGGAUUAUGUGAUCAGAAGUAUCAAGGCAAGUCAAAGGAGAAAGGAAUAUGCAAUAAAUGACACUGAAGCAACUGGAUAUCAACAUGCAAAAAGAUACAUUGAAACGUUUUACAUCAUGGACAAAAAUUAACUCUAAGAUGGAUCACAGACUUAAAUGUAAGAGAGUUUGAAAAGAUUGCUAGGAAUAAAACAAGACAGAAUGAAAAGUUACCUGGGGCUCUGAAGCUGUCAACCAGGAGAUGAACACACCCACCCCCCACAGCUGGCCUUUGAGAUGAGCAGCGGAUCACCAUGCUGCGAUCAAGCCUGGCUGUGCCUCCCGCUGCUAACAGGAGCCCCCAGGCUGCCCCACUGGCGCUGCUGCAGGGCACCUGCAGGGAUGCGAACGCUGCGUGUCCACACACAGCCCCGUGCAUGUGUGCACACAGACAUACUUGUGUGAUUCUACACUCACGUGCAUGCACACACAGGCACACAGCUUCGCUCACAGCCUCACACUGUGUGUACACACAUGCACACAAAAAGCCUUAGGAACACACACACAUGCACACACAUGCACAUCUGUACACACUCACGCACAGUCCUAUGCACACUCAUGCACACACAUCCUGUGCCCACUGAACACAAUAAGGUCGGAGGGGCACUCUUGGAAUAGAGCCUCUUUUGAGAAUGGAUUAGGCUUCCUGAUGGUAACUGGAAGAAACGUAGAGAGAGACCCUGACAUCUCCCAGAAUUCCCACAUUCCCAUCUCCCAGCAUUCCCAUUCCCUCAGACCUCCUCCCUCUUACCUGGCUGCCUUCACCAUGGGAGAGAUCAGCAGAUGCAAUGGAAAGUCCAGGGAGGGGAGCAAUGCAAGAGCAGUACAGAACUUGAAAGAUAAAGAGGAUAGAACAAAGCAAAAGCUCUCUUUGUAUAGAUAUCUUUAUAUCCAAAGAAACAAACAGUAGGGAAUCAAGGAGAAAAUAACACCAAACCAUGAAAACUCUGCAUGCUUCAUGACUAAGAAGACCGCAUUAGCAAUCAAUUAAAAUGGCAACACUAGAAGAACCAUAAAGUGAAUCUACUGCAGUGAGUCACAGCGGCAAUUUAAAGACCAAGUUGCCGUUAACUAAGAUGCAGAUGACGCAGUCAUGGAAAGUUGCAUAUGUGCUGUCUGCCCACAUGUAACACGUGUGUCUGCCCUGGGAUAACGGAAAGACUAGCAGUAGGGCCCUCCAAAGUGAGUGGCCGCUGCAGAAGCUGCUCAGCCCCGGAUCCUGGAUGUCCAGAGUUGCAUCAACAAGCUGUCUCGGGCUGGCUGCUCGUGGCGAUUUCCCUCGUCCUGCUGGAGAGCAGCAGAUGGUUUCCCAUACUGUGUUAUAUUUAUUAACAUUCAGCCCAGACUUAAUUGACAAUACUAAACAUUGGUUCUUUAAACAUUCAGCUUCAUUAUUUGCAAUGGUAAUUUCAGUAAACAGUAGCUAUUCCAAAGCUCUGUAGUGUGAAAUUAAAUUUGUUGGUUAAUUAA
Long non-coding RNA from Heterocephalus glaber (naked mole-rat), 1842 nucleotides. Lineage: Eukaryota; Metazoa; Chordata; Mammalia; Rodentia; Bathyergidae. The record is from Ensembl.